This 5418-nucleotide long non-coding RNA is filed under the name Malus domestica (apple). RNAcentral's name for it is "long non-coding RNA (MDOM_LNC005385)". Lineage: Eukaryota; Viridiplantae; Streptophyta; Magnoliopsida; Rosales; Rosaceae. The record is from RNAcentral.
CGGUAUGUCUUUCUUUUACUUUUGUUCUUCUUUUUAUACAAGCAAUAUUGUGGAGGGGAAAUCGAGCUCAGGACCUCGGGUGCAGGAUUGAAUGCUCUAAACUCAACUCGGUUACAAGCACCUUUCUUUUCACUUGUGUAUCUAAAAUUGUCGGUUAAAAACCUUGAACCAAGCAAGAAUACAAUCUAAUUUACUUUGCUUACUUUUUUCCCAUACGAAGCAAAAGAGGCGUUCUUGGAUUGGACAAGACGCCUUGAGAUAAUAUGUGGGAUUGCUAGAGGGAUUUUAUAUCUUCAUCAGGAUUCAAGAUUAAGAAUCAUCCAUAGAGAUCUAAAGGCCAGCAAUGUUUUGUUGGAUUCUGCUAUGAACCCCAAGAUUUCAGAUUUUGGUAUGGCUAGGAUAUUUGGAGCUGAACAAAUUGAAGCAAAUACAAACCGUGUGGUUGGGACAUAGUAAGUUUCAUUCAAGACUAAAAGUACACCUGUUUUUUACAAUUUUCAUCCCUAUUUCACAAGGCCACAAACGUGAGUACAACUUUUGUUGAAUACUACAGAAAGAAGCUGUGAUACUUAAUCAAUUUUAUUUUGUUGCUUCAGCGGUUAUAUGUCACCAGAGUACGCAAUGGAAGGAUUUUUUUCAGUAAAGUCUGACGUAUAUAGCUUUGGCGUUUUACUACUAGAAAUUGUUACUGGCAGAAAGAACACUAGCUACUACCACGAUAGUUCUUACUCAAAUUUAGUUGGACAUGUAAGCAUAACAUUAAGACGUACCAAACUUCUCUCCGUCUGCUUUUAUAACUUGAUGAUUAAUUUGUAAAUGGUUUUUAGGUUUGGGACUUAUGGAAGGAAAGUAGAGCCUUGGAAAUCAUUGAUUCAUCGCUGGGAGAAUCAUACCAUGUCAAUGAAGUUCUAAGGUGUAUUCACAUUGCCCUCUUGUGCGUGCAAGAGCAAGCGAAGGAUCGUCCACUCAUGUCAGCAGUGGUUUCCAUGUUGGGUAAUGAUGCAGCAAUUCCUUCACCAAAGCAACCUGGAUUUUUGUUGAAGAGUGGGGACCCAUCAGCCAAUACAAAAGGAGCUUCCUCUAUAAAUGACAUGACCCAUACAGAAGUAGAAGGUCGCUAAGGGGAGAACUAGACGAAUACUCGGAAAUACCAUCAUUGAAUUUAGAGUACGAUCACGUGAUAAGUGAGAUAAGAAUAGAUGAUAUACUCCGAUUUCACUCAAUAAUUUGCCUUUUAAUUAGGGAUCUAAGUUCUAUAUCUACAACACUCAUCAUCUCUCUUGUUGUAAAUACAUGCUAUAAAUUGUGUGCCUUAUAACUAGGGAUCUAAGUUCUAUAUUUGCAAUACUCAUCAUCUGUCUUGUUGUAAAUACAAAAUAUAAAUUAAUUGCAACACUCGUCAUCAGUUCGACGAGGCUACAUAAAAGUACUUUCUAACCGCCAUAGACAUUUAGGAGGGCUGAGAACUUUGUGGCUCAAGGUUUUAGAAGCAGGCAUACUCAGACACUAAUCAAGCCACGUGUCAACUAACAGUCAAGACUCAAAAACAAAAGUCUAGAGCGGGACAUGAAGCUGGUCUGGCCUGCUCGAAGUGACAUGACUAAUUAAUCAAGGCCUAGCGGGACGCUCGGCACACAUUGGACAUUUGGAUGUUAUGAUAAUUUAGUGUUAGAAAUGAUAAUUUAGAGCUUGAAUAUUGUUCACUAUCACAUGUGCUAGUAUAUGCUUCAAAAAAUUUUAGAGGCAAAAUAUUGUUAAAAAUUAUGAUGCUCUUAUUUGUACGGUGAUUUAUACAAAACACUGUAUUAAUGGUGAUAUUUACAUAAAACUAUAUCAUAGUGAUUAGCGAAUAGUGAUUUCUACAUAAAAUUAUAUUAAAAAUAUUUGAGAUGGUAGUCAAAUCUUAUGCAUAAACUCUGUUGUGAUAGUGCAAAAGUUUUUACAGAUUAGAAAUAGUCCAAAAUUGUUUGAGUGCGGUAUCGGGCUCGAAUUUUUUAACCUCACUCUUGCUCAUCUCCCAUAAGAAUCAAGUCAAGCUUACCCGCAAGCUCGAAAAAAUUAAAUAAGCCAAAUUUAAACAUAAUAGUAUUCAGUUCGGCUUGACUAGUUUGCAGUCCUACAUUUAUUUAAAACACCCCUCUGAAUUAUUACCCAAAGACGGGACCUUUUUGUAUCUUUAAGUUGAAAAGCUGAGUGAAUUAUGACUUUCUCCAAUAAAUCCAGAGAUGAUAAUUGGAUAGAUAAUUCCACUGACCAAUCAAUUAACUGUUGGAAAAUAUUAGUAUUUUGGUUUAUUUGAAUGUUUGGUUUUAUGGGUUUAGCCCGUUAGAAUUAGGUUUGUUAGAGAUUAGGGUUAAUUUAUUAUAAAUAGGGUGCUUUGUUAUUCAUUAGAGAACAAGUUAGCCACAAUGUAGUCUCUUAGGGUUUUGUAGCCGUUUCGGCAUUCUCGUUUGUUUAAUAAUAUUCUUAUUAUUUGUUAGUCUUGUUCGUUGCGCACUCUGAUAUUCAACUUGGUAUCAGAGCGGGUUCGAUCCUUAGGGUUCAACCCGUUCUCAUUGGUAUCAAUUUGUUUGCCUUUGUCGUCGUUCGUUUUAGAUUUGUUAGUUGGUAUUGAUUGUUUGCAAGGAAAAGAAAAAUGAAAGGAAAAAAAAAAGUUUUGCUUGCAGAGGAGAAGAUUCCCCAGCAAAUAAAAAAAUGGAACUUUAACGAAAAGCACCCGGUACUGUUCACUUUAACGAAAAACCACAUUUUUACACUAAAAAGUCAAUCCUGGUACUAUUCACUUUACCCUUUAUUUUGUCCUUAUCAUUAAAACUCAAAGUUUUCAAGCCCUUUUCAUUAGUUUUCCUAUAAAAAAAAGGGGACGAAGGAGAAAAGAAGAAAAAGAAGGAAAAAAAAGAGGAACCACGGAAAGGAAGAAGAAGGAAGAAAAAAAUGGGAAAAAAAAAGGAAGGAAAAAAAUAUGGUUGUUUUGUGGUCCGUGUAUUCUUGCAUUGGGCAUGGUAACUUGAACUUGGAAUGGAAAUUUGGCAUCGACAUUGGUAUCGGCAUCGGCAUUGGUAUUGGCAUCAGCAUCGGAAUCGGCAUUGGAAUCGGCAUUGGAAUCGGCAUCGGCAUCAGCAUUGGUAUUGGCAUCGGCAUCAGCAUUGGAAUUUGAAGGCUUGCAUCCACAUCUGCUUGUUGGCAAACUCAUGUCGUCUACCGCCAUGAGUUUGAUAGGGGGUGUUGGAAAAUAUUAGUAUUUUGGUUUAUUUGAAUGUUUGGUUUUAUGGGCUUAGCCCGUUAGAAUUAGGUUUUGUUAGAGAUUAGGGUUAGUUUAUUAUAAAUAGGGUGCUUUGUUAUUCAUUAGAGAACAAGUUAGCCACAAUGUAGUCCCUUAGGGUUUUGUAACCGUUUCGACAUUCUCGUUUGUUUAAUAAUAUUCUUAUUAUUUGUUAGUCUUGUUCGUUGCGCACUCUGAUAUUUAACUUUAACUUGGAUAGAGUUUGCACAAAAACACAAGAAGAUUAAAACCCUUAAUGCAAAUAUGUCACAAAAUACUAUAUACGUGACAAAUCCGAAUCGGUGUUUAGGGGCAUCUCUAAUGAGAAAAUACAAAAUUUGAGAGGAAAAAUCAUAUUUACGUUUCUGAUCGAUGUAAAUGAAGCUAUACUCCAAUGAGAAUGAUGAAAAUUUGAGAUCCCAUUUAAUUUUGUCUCCUUGAUUAGUGGGACUCACCACCAAAAGAUGUAAAAAAGAAUAUAAAUUUAAGUUUUUAUUUACAUCCUUCAACGAAGAUGAAUAAUUUAUAUUUCGCCAUUGGAUAAUUUUUCAGCAAAGAAAAAAAUAUAAAAUGUCCAUUUCAAAGUACUUUGAGAGAUGCCCUUGAGAAGAAAAGCUUACUUACCGUUAUAAUUGUUUAGUAAUCUGAAAUAAUUAUUUACCGCUAUGCAUUUUAGAAUCUAUUGUGUAAAUAAUUAUUCAAUGUUAUGUGCUAAAAUCCAGUUAUGUAAAGAUAUGUGAUUAACUCGAGAUAGAGUAGUUAUAACAUUCCAAAUUUCGAAUAAUCUGGUAGUUCUCGAAACAAAGAAAGAAUGAAGAAAAAAAACCUCUGAAAACAAAAUGUGAAAAGGUGUAAUAGUAAUUUCAUCACUGUAUUACAAUUGUUAUUUUUCUUUUUUGGGCGUAUUAAUGUGUUGUGAGUGUAUGAUUUGGUGGUGAAAGUCUCUGUCUGUCUCUGUCUGUCUCUGUCUGUCUCUCUCUCUCUCUCUCUCUCUCUCUUCGCUCGAAGUCUCAAAAACACACUCCACCAGUAGCACCCGAAAACCUCGUAAACCUUUUUCUUCCAUUUCAUUUCUUUACCGAGUGACACGAGCGAGCGAGUUGAGAAAUGGCGACUCGGUUCCCGGACGAUUUCAAGUGCCCAACUUCCCUCGAAAUAAUGUCGGACCCGGUUAUACUCUCCUCGGGUCACACCUUUGAUCGGGCCUCCAUCCAACGCUGGCUCGACGCCGGUCACACCCGGUUACAAAAGGGUUGAUUGCUAUUGCACUUGUUCAGUUCGUUCUUCUGAUCCGGUGCUGCGCUUCAAUCGAUAGUAUAACAACUGAUCAAGCGAUCAGGGAUGGCGAAGUUCUAUUCUCUAGUGGAGAAGUGUUUGAGCUUGGUUGAUCUUCAGCCCCAGAAAAUCUACGAACACUAUGUUGGAAUCUGGUAUAAGAAAGAUGUAGAAAAAAGAGUUGUAUGGGUUGAAAACAGAGACAAUCCUGUCAAUGACACUUCAGGAAUCCUCUCAACUGGUGCAAAUGGUAACCUCUUCCUCUAUGCCGAAAACCAAAGCGAUAUUCCCCUCUGGUCUGCCAUAUCCAAUGUUUCAAUCGCAUCAUUACCAUCCAAUUCCACACAUGAGCCUAAUUACAAAGCUCAGCUCUUAGAUACUGGAAAUAUUGUGGAGGGGAAAUCGAGCUCAAGACCUCAGGUGCAGGAUUGAAUGCUCUUAACUCAACUCAGUUACAAGCGCCAUUCUUUUCACUUAUGUAUCUAAAAUUGUCGGUUAAAAGCCUUGAACCAAGCAAGAAUACAAUCUAAUUUACUUUGCUUACUUUGCUAGUGGGAUCUUAUAUCUUCAUCAGGAUUCGAGAUUAAGAAUCGUCCAUAGAGAUCUAAAGGCCAUCAAUGUUCUGUUGGAUUCUGUCAUGAACCCUAAGAUUUUAGAUUUUGGUAUGGCUAGGAUAUUUGGAGCUGAACAAAUUGAAGCAAAUACAAACCUUGAGGUUGGGACAUAGUAAGUUUCCUUCAAAACUGAAAGUACACUUAUUUUUUACAAUUUUCAUCCCUAUGUCACAAGGCCACAAACGUGAGUACAACUUUUGUUGAAUAAUACAGAGAGAUGCUGUGAUAAUUAAUCACUUUUACUUUGUUGCUUCAGUGGUUAUAUGU